UUUGUAACCAGAAGAAGUAGAAGUGUGGUAAGGCCCCCAAGUAUUCACAUGUAUUAAUUGGAAUGGUCUAGUUGUACUGAUACUGCUGCCAGGAAAAGGGAGUCUAGUCUAUUUGGCCAUAGGGCAGACAGAACAGGGAAAAGGUUGUUUAGAAGCAAUAGGAAAAGACAAACCAGAAAUAUGUCUCAUAUUUGCAAAAGGAGUGUGUGCUAGUCUUAAAUGCCAAAUGUAAUUCAUAUCAUUGGUAACAACAUUAUUAAAAUGGAAUUGCUUACAAUUGGAGGUAAGCCAACAUUUUUGCUGUCAGACACAGUGUCAUCAUUACAAAAAUCAGACAAAGCACACACAGAAGUAAAAGGGGAAACAGGAGAGGGAGAAGGGGAAUGAGGCACCCAAGACAGUUUGUAUAAGCCAGCUUCCUCUUUACCAAGAUCCAGAGGCCUCUUCAAAGAAGGGUCCUGUAUCAUGUGAAGUAAACAGGAAGUUGGAGUAAACAAAACUAUACAGUGCAACUGUUUAAUCAACUUGUGAACAGAAAUCAAGUUGUGUUUCAGGAAGUUGGAGUGAACAAAACUAUACAGUGCAACUGUUUUAUCAACUUGGGAACAGAAAUCAAGAUGUGUUUAAAGGAAGGAACCAGAAGCACAUUAUGAAGAGUAAGGGAAGAAGUUAAUGCAAAAGUGAUCACUGGAAUCCCCUAACUUGGUCUGUUGCAACAAGCUCAUCAAUUGAUCAUAGUGGUGUCUGCUCAACCCUGAUAUCACAGAGCUGUGACCAUCUAUGUGUGUAACAUGGUGAUGGCUGGCAGGAGGAUCCCCAAGAGGAACAAACAAAUUAGGAUUCCCAUGAUUAACAGACACACAUUCCUCACCAGUGGAGACAUGAGCAGCUACAAAUUUCCUUCCCUUGUUGUAAUUUAUGUUUUGAGGAAACCCAUGGAUCUUGUAGCACUUAUCAAUUAAGUGCCCAGAUUUCUUGCAGUAUUUGCAAAAUAAGGGCCCUAUGCUUUGCUCAAAAUUAAUUCUGGCUCUGAAAAUAGGGGGUCUAGGCACUGUGGCCUGAUUAGAC
RNAcentral lists this long non-coding RNA (1068 nucleotides) under Nicotiana benthamiana. RNAcentral describes it as "long non-coding RNA (NBEN_LNC012719)". Lineage: Eukaryota; Viridiplantae; Streptophyta; Magnoliopsida; Solanales; Solanaceae. The record is from RNAcentral.